Long non-coding RNA from Canis lupus familiaris (dog), 2526 nucleotides. RefSeq lists it as uncharacterized. The transcript has 3 exons. NCBI's taxonomy places the organism in Eukaryota, Metazoa, Chordata, Mammalia, Carnivora, Canidae. The record is from RefSeq and is a predicted model, not a curated record.
GGAAAGAAAGGGCAAGACUGGGGGGACAAGGAGCCCACAGAAGACGGAAUCAGGCAGCAGGAUCCCCUCCCCUCAUAGGCCUGAGGGUCAGGUGGGCUUGGCCACAAGCACCAAGCCUGGUUCUAACCAGGGCACGGUAACCCAAGGCAGAGGUGCCCAGAGCCUGGCUGAGACUGAGCCCAGCGGGAGGUCCCAGAGCUUGGGCUCCGGGCACAGGCAGCUAUGGGGUGUGCAGUCAGGCAGAUUGGGGCAGAGAGGCACAAAGGAAGUGUCCAGUCCAAGAAAGAUAGUUUAUUGCUGUCUGGAGACCUCAGGGCCUCAGAUCAAAAAGCCUACAGGCUCCCUGGAAGCCAGCAGGUAGUCACUGGCACCUUCUAAAGGAUGAGCAGGGCAGAGCCUGGCACGUGGCUCCUCGGUGCAGAGAGGCCAGGCUGCACGCACAGACCUCUGAAAGGGGCCCCACCUCUGCGGGGGGAGGCCUAGGCUUGAUUGGGGUUGGUGACCUUGCCCCAGAAGAGGAUGUUCUCCGUAUCUUUGUGGUGUAUGCAGAACAGAAAGGGUCUGUUGAAACGAACAGUGACCAGUGGGCCGAUCUUUCCAGAUAAAAAAAACAACUUUACUUCCCGUGGCGGCAGCGGCUUCUGUGCCCAACUCGGUCACAUCGAGCAGGGUCUUGUGAACUAUCUGCGGGAAGAUCCGGUGGGCGAGGGGUGAGCAGCCUGCCUGGGAGCCCCAAAGAGACUGACAUUCAUGCAGCCUCCACCCCAGGCUGUCACCGAUCGCUUCGUUCGUCCUGGCAACCCUGUCAGGGGUCCUGCGUGGUUCCCACACACAGAGGCUUGGAUACAGAGGAUGAAUUAUCCAAAGUUGAACCGCUCACCUGGGAAACUGCCAGGUUCUUGUGCCCUGUGACUCUCGACAGGUCGGCCUGGUUGGUGAAGACUUCUCUCACGCCCAGCUGGGGAAGGACAUCUUCCAGAUUAUAGCUGCUGGAGAUGGAAAACUUUGGCAGGUAGAGGUUGUCUAUCCUCCUAGGAAAUGAGAAACAUGACUUUGAACACCUGCUCGACUCACUGCUCACUUUCUCCCACCUCACAGCAUGGUCUUCCUUGGUUUCCUCUCUAACCAUCCCCUUCUUGCUGGAAGGACAGAGCCCAGAACUGCCUCCCAGUGGCUCCACCCUCAAGGACCGGGCCAGAACUCACGGUGCCUUGCUUGUUCCCCUGACAUCAGUCUUCUGGAUGCCAUGUCCUAGCCUAUCUCUACCCUCAGGUUCAUCUGAAACUUGACGACUCCUCACACUUCUUGCCUGGAUCGCUGCACAGGGCUCCUAGCUGGCUUCCUGCCUCCAUGCCUGUCCUCUGUGCUCUAUUCCACUCAGCCUCCUGGGUGUAUUUAAAACAAUACUCCGAUCAUUCACCCUUUGGCCCAAGACCUAGUGAGGACUCCACACUUCACUUAGAAGAGGAAGAGUCAAGGUUUCUCCAAGGGUCUGCAUGGCCCUCCUCAAUCUGCGCCAUCCCGUGGAGCCCCCUGACCUCUGACUCUCACCCUGCUCUAGCCUCUCUUGUCUCACUAACCCUCCAGGCUUUGCAUAGAGGCUUUGCACUGGCUGUUCCCUCUGCCAAGAAUGCUUUUCCCCCACAUACGCACAGGCCUCAGCCCCUCACCUCUAACAUAUUGAUGCUCAGAUGUCACCUAAUGGCAAUCCUAUUUAAAAUCACCAACUAGGGGAUCCCUGGGUGGCUCAGCGGUUUGGCGCCUGCCUUUGGCCCAGGGCACGAUCCUAGAGUCCCGGGAUCGAGUCCCGCGUCGGGCUCCCGGCAUGGAGCCUGCUUCUCCCUCCUCCUGUGUCUCUGCCUCUCUCUCUCUUUCUAUGUCUAUCAUAAAUAAAUAAAUAAAUCUUAAAAAAAAUAAAAUAAAAUCACCAACUACCUCCUUGUCGGUCCAGUUUUCCUAAUCACUUUACCAUGCUCUAUCAUCCACUGCCUCAUCCGCAUUUCCUAACGUCCGACAUACUAAAUCAUUUCCCUGUUUGUCAUAUUUAUUUACUUUCUCAUUUCCUGAGUACAAAGUAAGCUCCACGAGGGCAGGAGAUUUGUGUUUUACUUGCUGACCUACCCUUGGGGUCUAAAUCAGUGCCUGGCACCUACUAGGCUCCCCAUUAACCUACGUGACCUUGUGCCAAAAUGGGUGAAAGGAUAAAUGAAUGAAUGUAAGAGCCGGCGCAGAGCUGCUCAGAGCCUGUCUUGCUUUGGCCCUCACCUGAUGGCAGGCCCAUCUGUCCCCUCUGCCUCCGAGAGGUUGAGACAAGCAUGCCGGCUGUUGAGGAUUCCCUGGGACCUGAGCAUGUUGCAGUCAGAGGCAGCCUCUGCCCCUGUCCCGGUCCCAGGUCCUUGUGUCUCAUAGAGGAGAUACCUUCAGGCCCAAAGCCCCCCGGGGCAGCAAAGGGCAGGGUAAACCCAAGCUCCACCUGUGCCAGGGUGGCUUCCCCCAGCACUGCAGCCCCAGCCUCGGCCAUCAGGG